AAGGUCUGACUUUCCAAUGGUUUUGUGUUUCUACUCUUGGUGACAGAGUAUUUCUGAAUUUGUGAGAAGAUUUGUUUUAUUUUUAAAAGUGGGAAAUGCCAAAUGGAACUGUUCUUCGGUUGAAUUCUAUCAGAAUUCCUUGCCUGGUGGAAUUUCAUUCUUGUAGACUGCACAGGUCAAAGUUCCUAGAGUUGAAUUCUGAGGAUAUCCUGGGAUGGAAGCAUCUUAGCCUGUGUGCCCCCAAGACAGGAAGAGGCAAUUUCCUUCGACUCAGUGAGAGCAGCCUCCUUGGACAGGUCUUAGAGACCAUCAGGAGCAAGAAGACAUGUCCCCACCUGAUGGCCCUGCUGACCGGCUCCCCUCAUCCAAGUGGCUCUCAGUAGUCCCUUGGGCCCCAGAUCUCUUCUUGACUGGCAGUGUCCUCACACAUGACGCUCUCCACUGGCACACGUUUCAUUUGUCCUUCUCUGGCUGAAAUCCCUUCAUGCUAUCCUUGCUUUGGCUUAAAUAUUCAGAGGGCCCUCGGUGGUAGCUCUGUGUGUGUCCCGCUCUGGACCCUUGCCUCACUUUCCUUUGUGUCUGUGCCCUCUGUGUUUCCCGAAUUAUACGUAUCCUGUUUGUACUUUUCUAGGUGCUUGUUUCAUUCUUCUCUCUGUCUGUUUCCCCCAUGGGACUGUCAAUGCCACAAGGACAGAAAGCAAACCUGUUCCAUGUCCACUGUGUCCCCAGAUCCUAGCACAGGCCAGCAUACACUUAGGCCCUUAGGCAGUGAUUAUGAAAUAAACGAAUGAACAGUUGGAACCACCAAAGAAAAAUCCAAAUGUUUAAGUGUUAUAAUGCUGGAAAAUGGAG
Molecule: long non-coding RNA, 852 nt
Filed under: Heterocephalus glaber (naked mole-rat)
Lineage: Eukaryota; Metazoa; Chordata; Mammalia; Rodentia; Bathyergidae
Description: lncRNA (ENSHGLG00000038725.1)
Source: RNAcentral